Molecule: ribosomal RNA, 879 nt
Filed under: uncultured bacterium
Lineage: Bacteria
Description: bacterial SSU rRNA
Rfam family: Bacterial small subunit ribosomal RNA
Source: RNAcentral
CAGUCGAACGGAGUGCCCUUGAAGGAGUUUUCGGACAACUGAAAGGACUACCUAUGUGGCGGACGGGUGAGUAACGCGUGAGUAACCUGCCUUGGAGUGGGGAAUAACAGUUGGAAACAGCUGCUAAUACCGCAUAAUAUGUCUGUGUCGCAUGGCACUGGACAUCAAAGAUUUAUCGCUCUGAGAUGGACUCGCGUCUGAUUAGCUGGUUGGCGGGGUAACGGCCCACCAAGGCGACGAUCAGUAGCCGGACUGAGAGGUUGGCCGGCCACAUUGGGACUGAGACACGGCCCAGACUCCUACGGGAGGCAGCAGUGGGGAAUAUUGGGCAAUGGGCGCAAGCCUGACCCAGCAACGCCGCGUGAAGGAAGAAGGCUUUCGGGUUGUAAACUUCUUUUCUCAGGGACGAAGAAAGUGACGGUACCUGAGGAAUAAGCCACGGCUAACUACGUGCCAGCAGCCGCGGUAAUACGUAGGUGGCAAGCGUUAUCCGGAUUUACUGGGUGUAAAGGGCGUGUAGGCGGGACUGCAAGUCAGAUGUGAAAACCACGGGCUCAACCUGUGGCCUGCAUUUGAAACUGUAGUUCUUGAGUACUGGAGAGGCAGACGGAAUUCCUAGUGUAGCGGUGAAAUGCGUAGAUAUUGGGAGGAACACCAGUGGCGAAGGCGGUCUGCUGGACAGCAACUGACGCUGAGGCGCGAAAGCGUGGGGAGCAAACAGGAUUAGAUACCCUGGUAGUCCACGCUGUAAACGAUGGAUACUAGGUGUGGGGGGACUGACCCCCUCCGUGCCGCAGUUAACACAAUAAGUAUCCCACCUGGGGAGUACGAUCGCAAGGUUGAAACUCAAAGGAAUUGACGGGGGCCCGCACAAGCGGU